RNAcentral lists this unclassified non-coding RNA (352 nucleotides) under uncultured Hypocreales. Its description in RNAcentral is "sequence contains ITS1". The stretch from base 1 to 105 matches the Rfam family "5.8S ribosomal RNA", at positions 50 to 154 of the family's 154-position model. Lineage: Eukaryota; Fungi; Ascomycota; Sordariomycetes; Hypocreales. The record is from RNAcentral.
GAAAUGCGAUACGUAGUGUGAAUUGCAGAAUUCAGUGAACCAUCGAAUCUUUGAACGCACCUUGCGGCCGCCGGUAAUCCGGCGGCCAUGCCCGUCCGAGCGUCGUUUCGACCCUCGGGACCCCUCAACUUGCGAAAGCGAGCGAGGGGGCCCCGGCCUUGGGCCAGCGCCUGUCGCCCUCCCCGCUCGGGGUGGUGCGCGGCGCGGCCCGUAGACCAGCGGCGGCAGCACCGGCGAUGUCCCCUGCGCAGUAAACAUAACGCUCGCAUUGGUCUCCCGGCGCGGCCCGCCUCGAAACAUAAACUUUUUUUAGUUCGACCUCGGAUCGGGUAGGGAUACCCGCUAAACUUAA